This 689-nucleotide ribosomal RNA is filed under the name Diaporthe sp. C53-134. Its description in RNAcentral is "eukaryotic LSU rRNA". The stretch from base 185 to 338 matches the Rfam family "5.8S ribosomal RNA". The record is from RNAcentral. Lineage: Eukaryota; Fungi; Ascomycota; Sordariomycetes; Diaporthales; Diaporthaceae.
AAGUGCCAUGCUGGAGGAGGUUCGGCGCACCCAGAAACCCUUUGUGAACUUAUACCUAUCUGUUGCCUCGGCGCAGGCCGGCCUCUUCACUGAGGCCCCCUGGAAACAGGGAGCAGCCCGCCGGCGGCCAACUAAACUCUUGUUUCUACAGUGAAUCUCUGAGUAAAAAACAUAAAUGAAUCAAAACUUUCAACAACGGAUCUCUUGGUUCUGGCAUCGAUGAAGAACGCAGCGAAAUGCGAUAAGUAAUGUGAAUUGCAGAAUUCAGUGAAUCAUCGAAUCUUUGAACGCACAUUGCGCCCUCUGGUAUUCCGGAGGGCAUGCCUGUUCGAGCGUCAUUUCAACCCUCAAGCCUGGCUUGGUGAUGGGGCACUGCCUGUAAAAGGGCAGGCCCUGAAAUCUAGUGGCGAGCUCGCCAGGACCCCGAGCGUAGUAGUUAUAUCUCGCUUUGGAAGGCCCUGGCGGUGCCCUGCCGUUAAACCCCCAACUUCUGAAAAUUUGACCUCGGAUCAGGUAGGAAUACCCGCUGAACUUAAGCAUAUCAUUAAAGCGGAGGAAGUGGGGGAACCCCUUCGCCCACAAACCUUGGGAACUAACCUAUUUUGCCGGCCGGCCCUCCGGGCCUGGAAAGGGAACCCGCGCACACCUGUUUCGGAAUUAAAAAAAUAAGAAACCAUUUACGCAACUGG